This 254-nucleotide ribosomal RNA is filed under the name uncultured bacterium. RNAcentral describes it as "partial 16S ribosomal RNA". It matches the Rfam family "Bacterial small subunit ribosomal RNA", at positions 524 to 776 of the family's 1533-position model. The record is from RNAcentral.
UACGUAGGGGGGCAAGCGUUGUCCGGAAUCAUUGGGCGUAAAGAGCGCGUAGGCGGUCCGGUAAGUCCGCUCUGAAAGUCCGGGGCUCAACCCCGGGAGGCGGGCGGAUACUGUCGGGCUAGAGUCCGGAAGAGGCGAGUGGAAUUCCGGGUGUAGCGGUGGAAUGCGUAGAGAUCCGGAAGAACACCAGUGGCGAAGGCGGCCCGCUGGGCAGUGGCUGACGCUGAGGCGCGACAGCGUGGGGAGCAAACAGG